Molecule: long non-coding RNA, 552 nt
Organism: Salvia miltiorrhiza (redroot sage)
Lineage: Eukaryota; Viridiplantae; Streptophyta; Magnoliopsida; Lamiales; Lamiaceae
Exons: 2
Source: RefSeq, a predicted model, not a curated record
CGGUCGGCGGAACUGUGACGAGACAAAUCUGCAGUUGAUCUGCCGGAGGCUCCUUUCUUUCAGAUAUUUCUCCCCCAGCUCGAUAGGCGCUAGGUUUUUGAGAUGUCGUUUUGGCCUCUUUUGGCUAUCAUUCUUGGCAGCAAGUCUUUUCUCUUGUGCGUGGACUAUCACCGGUUUUGCUGCCUAUUUUGGUGUUCUGCCAUGGGGUUGUUAAGUUCUCUUUUCUGGACUUGGUCGACGGGGGGGAUUGCUAGGCUGAUUGGGUUGCUUUGGUUCGUCCUUUGCUUUUUUUCAUUUCAGUUUGUUAAUUUUGUUCCUCAAGUGUUUGUGAUCACAGAGAUUCCAAAAUCAUAUAAGAGGGCGAGAUGGGGGCGAAGCUCUCCAGCAAUGGAAGUUUUAUCCGUAGGAAUUCAAUAACCCAUGGCCAUGGAUCUUCUGCUUGCAUUUUAGUUUUUCUUUUUCUUUUCUCGAUUUCUUGAAACACCGCAUACUGUGUAUUCUUUGUUGGUGGAAUUCCAAUUUUUUUUUUGAAACAAUCGAUUUGUUGAAGCU